Molecule: ribosomal RNA, 450 nt
Filed under: uncultured bacterium
Lineage: Bacteria
Description: bacterial SSU rRNA
Rfam family: Bacterial small subunit ribosomal RNA
Source: RNAcentral
AGCGAACGCUGGCGGCAGGCCUAAUACAUGCAAGUCGAACGGUCUCUUCGGAGGCAGUGGCGGACGGGUGAGUAACGCGUGGGAAUAUGCCCUUUGGUACGGAACAACUGAGGGAACUUCAGCUAAUACCGUAUGUGCCCUUCGGGGGAAAGAUUUAUCGCCAUUGGAGUAGCCCGCGUUGGAUUAGGUAGUUGGUGGGGUAAAGGCCUACCAAGCCUACGAUCCAUAGCUGGUCUGAGAGGAUGAUCAGCCACACUGGGACUGAGACACGGCCCAGACUCCUACGGGAGGCAGCAGUAGGGAAUCUUGCGCAAUGGGCGAAAGCCUGACGCAGCCAUGCCGCGUGAAUGAUGAAGGUCUUAGGAUUGUAAAAUUCUUUCACCGGGGGAAGAUAAUGACGGUACCCGGAGAAGAAGCCCCGGCUAACUUCGUGCCAGCAGCCGCGGUAAU